UAUUUUUGUUAUGUUUUCCCUGUGGGGGUGUACACUGAAAGCACAAGCAUUUAAAGCUCUUGACAACUACUUUGAAGAGACAGAAGGUUUUUGAUUUUCCUGUUUUGUUUUUUUUCUUUCGCUUUUUUUUUCACUUUAAUUUGGUUUUAUCACAUCUCCCCUCCUUCUCUUUCUCUUUGGAAACAUAAAAAGUGGAUUUAAUAUUUUUUUUAAUAGUGAGCAGAGUUGAUUUUCUUGUCUUUUAAUAUAUAUAUAUCAGCAAACCACAAAAAUACAGAUGGGUUGGAGAACAGAAAGUAAACCCAAAUAGUUUUUUUUAAUUAUUAUUAUUAUUUAUAUAUUCUAUGUAUUAUUAGAAAAAACUACUUUUAAAUAAAAAAAUAGAAAAAAAACCAACAAAAAAGCAAUGGAUGUCUACUUGGUAAUAGAACUGUUUCUAGAGAACCACUGUGGGCGGACUCUAUCAGGGGACAAGGAAACCCUUGAUGUGAUGGCAUCUGUGUCUUGAGAUUUUGCACUUACUGUAGCAUGGGAAGUCUGGCUCUUCUCAUACAUCUGCUACGCUACAGCCUGAAAAUACAAGCAGCACCAUCAAAGACCAUGGCCUUGGGGAACACAUUUCCAUCUCCUUUGGACACCUUUACACUCAAUAAAUCUCCUUUCUGCAUCCCUUCAUGUCUUCCCCACACCGUUCCACUUUUUUUUUCUUUUCCUUCACCUUUCACUUGAUGGACAACAAUUUCCAAGCAUAGAGAUGGAAUAUGAAUGGCAAGUCAUAGACAUCACAGAAAAAACAAAAGGAGGAGCAGAAUCCUGGAAAAAAUGACAUGGAAAAAUACCUCACCUAUUCUUUUCUUUCAAUUUUUAAAUUUCAAUUCACAGCAUUUUUUCCUGUGUUGCCCUGUUUUUUCUCUCUGUAGUGUCUCACAAGACACUUUAUUUGCUUUUUAAUGGCUUCUUUUGAAAUAAACCAAAGCAAUACUAAUUAAAGUUCCAAGGGCAAUGGAGAAGAGAGUGACUCCCAUCCCAGCGACUUUCCCAGAAAGGAGGAAACAUGCAGCAGGAUUUGAAAGUCAGCCCUGCCCUCGUGGAUUCCAGCAGCCUUCAAGCAAAACAUUUCAGAAGAAGAACGAGAAAAGCCAGGAUGCUUUGAUACUUCUUUCGUUGUCCUGAGUCGUCUGUACCUGAGUUCCAUCUGGCACAGGAGUCUGGACUGUGGGAAGUUGGCUGCCAACUGUUGAGAGAAGUUCUGGGGAUGCCCUAAGCUGGUGCAAUACAAAGAAGUUUUUUGAAGUCUUGAUUUCACUUUCUUUUAAGUGUAUGUAUAAACCCAGGUCAGACUGGAAUUGAUCUACAGUAGAACUGACUGAAAAACAAACAAACUGAAAAAGACAACUAUUUUAUUUAUUUCGAUAUUUAAGAAAGAAGUGCUGAAGUUGCACAGUAUUUUUGUUUGAAAUACAUUUUACUUCAAAUUUUAAAUGCAAUUUUGUGAAGACAUGAAAUUUUAAAAAGCACUUACUGUAAAAUAAAGACUGAAUAUUUACUUUAAGGAAAAAACUUUUUGAAAUAAUGAAAAUAAAGGUCAACUCUGCUCUCUCUCUUACUUUAAAGAAGCCAUUCGUACAUGUGCUGGGUAUCUUUGUUUUUUGAAAAUUGGAUGUGGUAAGUGAAGAUUGUUCUGAUUUAUUUUCUUUUUAAUAAUAUUAUGCUGUUAGAUGCUUAAAACCUACUUUGCUGUACUGUGUUAGGCACAAAAACUGUUGGAGUAGUGAAGACCAGGCUCAGUGGUUGAAUUUCUUUCUUACCAGAUUUGUGUCCAUUUCAAAGGACUGUCCUCCCGGUAGGAUUGAUCUGUCUCUUCUGCAUGGCAAAAGAGGUUUGCCCUUGAGCAACUCUGUGAAAUACUUCUGCUGAAAGAGGGCUUUAAGAAUUGAAAACAACUCUGAUCAUUUUUGUAUUAUUUUUUGCUUUGGUAAUUCCACAGCCGAUUUUGAGUUGGUUGUAAGGGAAGUAUCUAAAUGUUAGGUGCCCUUGGCAUGGAUCUUGCUGUCAAGGAUGAUGUCAUAUGUAGAAAACUUGUGUAUUUCAGCCUUUUCUGAACUGGUAGUGGACUUUGAAAAGCAUACAGGUGCAACCACAUGUCUGCAAUAAGCGACAGGGGUUACUAUGCAGGAGAAAAAUAUGAGUUCCCACAGCUGCAAUCCUAAGUUGUCCUGUGAGGCAGCAGGGAGGGAUGAUCACAUCCCAAAUUCUGAAUCAUUAGGCAUUGUCCCAGUGAAAAAGGAGGGUUUUGUUGGCAAGAUCUGCUUGCAGUGGAUAGCACAGGUCUGCUCAAUGUCUUUUGUGAUGAGGUCUAGGAGAGAUGCAGGAUAGCCUUGUGUCCUAGGAGAAGAGUACUGGACUUGGCUCUGUCUGGCAGCCCUGUUACAGAGUAGAAGCAAACUGAGGGCAAAGCACACCAACAAUUAUUGGGAUUGACCCUCAGGGUUUAGGCAGACAAAAAGUGGUUUUGUUAAUGUGGCUAACGUUGUCUUUCAGAAUGGAAAAACUAUGUCUACAAAAAUGCAUGCUGACUAGGUGAAGCUGACAGAAAACCUGAUACUGUCUUGUGUUUCCUGCACAUCUAGAACACAAACUCACCUCAUUGAGAGGUUUCCAUGUAUCAGCAGCAGCAGAUUUUUUUAGUCUUCUCCCUUUCCCUUUUCCCACUUCUUCCCAAAUUAAAACAUAAAGUCAAAAAUAACCAUGUAAGGUAGUCCUGCUCAAACUGAAUUAAAUGACAGUUUGUGUCCUAAUUGGGCUCUUUAGCAGGAUGGGUUUGCUUUGCUCAUGUUGAUUUCUAAACAUCCAGUGGGGAACUGCCUC
Camarhynchus parvulus is the source of this 2868-nucleotide long non-coding RNA. RefSeq lists it as uncharacterized. The record is from RefSeq and is a predicted model, not a curated record. Lineage: Eukaryota; Metazoa; Chordata; Aves; Passeriformes; Thraupidae. The transcript is spliced from 2 exons.